Drosophila virilis is the source of this 612-nucleotide non-coding RNA. Lineage: Eukaryota; Metazoa; Arthropoda; Insecta; Diptera; Drosophilidae. The record is from RefSeq and is a predicted model, not a curated record.
UUGUAAAGUAAAAAAAGGCAAUUGUGGUUGAUUUAAAUUUGUACGCAUUAAACACUGAUAAGCCGAUUUCACAUGUCAAGGUAACACAACUGUUGCCCAUACCUUGCGGCAACAAGAUCCUAUAUUCCAGCUGCAGUUAAAUCAAAUGAAGGCACAGGUUAACAGCUUACGUAUAGAGGCCCCCCUUGUUGAAACCUGUCAGAAAAUAUCUGUUUGGCCAGGUGUAACGUGCAAUAUACCGUUCGAUAUAGUAAAAUCGGUACCCGACUUUAAUGGUGUUGCUGACGAAUAGCAGCAUGGAGGCAAUCCGCCACAGAUGCUUACGAGCCUUUCAAACCAUACGAUGGCAGUAGUGGCCAUUACCAAGUCGUUAAAACAAAAUUCGAGGACCAGCAAGAGCAUUACUAGUUUCUCGCAAUACGGUAGUAAGCUACAGCAAAGCUAGGUUAGACUGUACCUAUGCUAAUAAGACAUCACAACGCCUUCUGCGACAGGGGCUAGAGAUGGUCAGAUAAGGUGAUUUAGGACUCAUGGAUUAUUACAAUGAAGCUGAACAAAUGUCGACAUAAGUAAACAAUAAAAUUGUCAUGUCCCACGAAACUGUAAAAAAAA